This 910-nucleotide ribosomal RNA is filed under the name uncultured bacterium. Its description in RNAcentral is "bacterial SSU rRNA". It matches the Rfam family "Bacterial small subunit ribosomal RNA", at positions 8 to 916 of the family's 1533-position model. The record is from RNAcentral.
AGAGUUUGAUCCUGGCUCAGGAUGAACGCUAGCGACAGGCUUAACACAUGCAAGUCGAGGGGCAGCACAGGUAGCAAUACCGGGUGGCGACCGGCGCACGGGUGAGUAACGCGUAUGCAACUUACCUAUCAGAGGGGGAUAACCCGGCGAAAGUCGGACUAAUACCGCAUGAAGCAGGGGCCCCGCAUGGGGAUAUUUGCUAAAGAUUCAUCGCUGAUAGAUAGGCAUGCGUUCCAUUAGGCAGUUGGCGGGGUAACGGCCCACCAAGCCGACGAUGGAUAGGGGUUCUGAGAGGAAGGUCCCCCACAUUGGUACUGAGACACGGACCAAACUCCUACGGGAGGCAGCAGUGAGGAAUAUUGGUCAAUGGGCGCGAGCCUGAACCAGCCAAGUCGCGUGAGGGAUGAAGGUUCUAUGGAUCGUAAACCUCUUUUAUAAGGGAAUAAAGUGCGGGACGUGUCCCGUUUUGUAUGUACCUUAUGAAUAAGGAUCGGCUAACUCCGUGCCAGCAGCCGCGGUAAUACGGAGGAUCCGAGCGUUAUCCGGAUUUAUUGGGUUUAAAGGGUGCGUAGGCGGCCUUUUAAGUCAGCGGUGAAAGUCUGUGGCUCAACCAUAGAAUUGCCGUUGAAACUGGGGGGCUUGAGUAUGUUUGAGGCAGGCGGAAUGCGUGGUGUAGCGGUGAAAUGCUUAGAUAUCACGCAGAACCCCGAUUGCGAAGGCAGCCUGCCAAGCCAUGACUGACGCUGAUGCACGAAAGCGUGGGGAUCAAACAGGAUUAGAUACCCUGGUAGUCCACGCAGUAAACGAUGAUCACUAGCUGUUUGCGAUACAUUGUAAGCGGCACAGCGAAAGCGUUAAGUGAUCCACCUGGGGAGUACGCCCCAACGGUGAAACUCAAAUGAAUUGACGG